This 97-nucleotide transfer RNA is filed under the name Engelhardtia mirabilis. Its description in RNAcentral is "Planctomycetes bacterium Pla133 tRNA-Glu". The record is from RNAcentral. Lineage: Bacteria; Pseudomonadati; Planctomycetota; Planctomycetia.
GCCAGAUCCGGUCUGGGAGCGGCGACGGGGGGCGUUUCACGCUCCUGCGAUCGGUCGAGGAGUGGCGACCCGCCGGAUCGUCCCUGGUGAUUCGGCA